AGAAGAAAGACCAGAACCUUCUAGUCCAAUAUCAAGCAAAUAUCGCAUAAGGGUGAUAAUCCAUGGGCAUCAUCCAAAUGAAAGUCUAGCAGAAGGUCAAAGCAACACAUUGGGAAAGCUCAUACACUUGCCUGAUUCAAUAGAAGAUCUUUUUAGAUUAGCAGAAAAGAAGUUUGGCAAACAAGGAAACACAAUUCUCAUGGAGGAUGGCUCACAAGUGGAAGACUUGGUUGCUUUAAGAGAGAAUGAUCACUUAUUUAUUUUCUGAAAAUUGAAAUAAUAUUUUUACUAAAUUUCAG
This 299-nucleotide unclassified non-coding RNA is filed under the name Hevea brasiliensis (rubber tree). The record is from RNAcentral. Lineage: Eukaryota; Viridiplantae; Streptophyta; Magnoliopsida; Malpighiales; Euphorbiaceae.